RNAcentral lists this unclassified non-coding RNA (304 nucleotides) under Hevea brasiliensis (rubber tree). Lineage: Eukaryota; Viridiplantae; Streptophyta; Magnoliopsida; Malpighiales; Euphorbiaceae. The record is from RNAcentral.
CUUGCGUUAUGACUGGCAGUAUCACGAACCAUUAGCGACAAUUUCCUGCUUAUGAGAUAGGGAGGCAGCAAUACCUGCAAACCAAGCUACUCUCAUGAGUUGAAUACCGAGUAUAAGUACCCACCAGCAAACCAAUCCUCUGAUUGUGUGCAUCAUCCAGGCCGGUGCACUGAGCUCAGCCCCAAGUUUCAACCCUCUCAUCAGCUGCAAAACUCGAUAACCCUCGUAUACAAUUGGAGUAACCAGCCAAACAGGCGAUCGCCAGUGCCACGUCAGCAUUUCGGUCAAAAUCUGUACUGAAAGG